UUUUUUUUUUUUUGUGACGGAGUCUCGCUCUGUUGCCCCGGCUGGAGUGCAGUGGUGCUAUCUCAGCUCACUGCAGCCUCCGCCUCCCAGGUUCAAGUGAUUCUCCUGCCUCAGCCUCCCAAGUAGCUGGGAUCGCAGGGAUGUGCCACCAUAUCAGGCAAUUUUUUGUAUCUUUAGUAGAGAUGGAGUUUCACCAUGUUGGCCAGGUUGGUCUUGAAUUCCUGACCUCGUGAUCCGCCCACCUCGGCGUCCCAAAGUGCUGGGAUUACAGGCAUGAACCACCACACCCGGCCUUCUAUUUCACUCUUACUAAGCAGCUAAAUCUAUUCUUUUUAACUUACUCUCUGCUUCAUGUCCCUUUUCUCUACAAUUUCUUAAUGUUGGAUAAUGCCAGGAUUUAAUUGUUGAACAUUAUGAGCUGCCUCUCUGUCUACACUUACUCCUUUGGUUAUCUCAUCAGGGCAUCAAAUGCUGUCUUUAUGCUAGUAGCUCCCAAAUUUAUAGUUUUAGUUCAGCCUUCACUCCAAAAUUCCAAACUCUUAUACCCAAAUUCCUAGUCAUCAGGUCUACCUGUAUUUCUAAUAAAAAUCUAAAACUUACCAUGUACAAGACUGAAUUAAUAUUUUUGAGAUGAUAUUCCUACAUUUUUAAAUACCUGAUAUUCUUCCUACUGGUAUUCCAUAUCCAUUUUAAAAUUACAUCUCCAUUUUAAAAAAGACCUCACUCUGAAAUUCCAAGCUCUUAGUCAACAGCUCUACUUGUAUUUCUAUAAUAAUAAAAGUCUAAUAUUUACCAUGUCCAAGACUGAAUUCUUGCAAAAGCUACUUUACCUAAGCCUUCCUCUUCUCACUUGGAGUCAGCUUUGUUCUUUCAAGUGUCAAAACCUUAAGUCAUCCUGGACUCCUCUCUUUCUCAUACUUUACACCCAGUCUAACUGGAAAUUGAGUUGGUUCUAUCAUCAAAAUUGAUCCAUAUAUAUAUAGAUUCCCCAUAGUUCAUUCCUCUUGAGAGAAUACACACAUUCCUCUGUGUGUGUGUAUGUGUGUGUGUGUGUAUAUAUAUGUGUGUACACACACACAGACAGGUGAGUAUAUAAAUAAACAUAGUUGCAUAUAUACAUGAAGUGGUAGGUGGAAGAAUGCCCCCUCUCCAAAUAUAUUAGCAUUCUCAUCUUGGGCAAAUGUGAAUAUAUUACUUUAUGUGACAAAAGGGACUUUGCAGAUGUGAUUAAGUUAAGAGCCUUGAGAUGGGGAGAUUAACCUGGAUUAUCUGGGUGGGUCCAACAUAAUCACAAUGGUCCUUGAAAGAGUCAGAGGAGAAGCGACAACUAAAGCAGAGUGUCACAAUGAUGCAAUGGUGAUUUGAAGACACUGUGAUGCUGGCUUUGAAAUGGAAGAAAGUGUCUGAGUCAAGGAAUGCAGCCUCUAAAGGGUGGAAAAGGA
Molecule: long non-coding RNA, 1442 nt
Filed under: Macaca fascicularis (crab-eating macaque)
Lineage: Eukaryota; Metazoa; Chordata; Mammalia; Primates; Cercopithecidae
Description: lncRNA (ENSMFAG00000055521.1)
Source: RNAcentral